Long non-coding RNA from Perognathus longimembris pacificus (Pacific pocket mouse), 1167 nucleotides. RefSeq lists it as uncharacterized. NCBI's taxonomy places the organism in Eukaryota, Metazoa, Chordata, Mammalia, Rodentia, Heteromyidae. The record is from RefSeq and is a predicted model, not a curated record. The transcript is spliced from 2 exons.
GCUACUUAGGAAGUGAAAAUUAGGUGGAUCAUUAUUUGAAAGCAGAUAGGGAUAAAGUUUAUGAGAUCUUCAUCUCAACAAAACAAGUUGUGUGUGUGUGUGUGUGUGUGUGUGUGUGUGUGUGUGUGUGUGUGUGUGUGUGUGCACGUGCGCAAGUGUACAGCCAGGAACACCACAUAGGAGAAAAAGAAAGAAUCCUUGGGUCUCCUGUCUUUCCCUGAAAGAGUAUAUUGGGAAGGCUGGCCUGGAAGUUCCUUAGAAUCCUUGUAACUUUAGAAAUCUGGCCCCACCGAAGACCUCCCCCUCCCCCCUUUUUUUCCUCCGUUGGCCACAGGCUGGGGGGUUAAGGGCUGAGUACAGCUUGUGGCCAUGACACAGAACAAAGCUAAAUAGGUCAUGCAACAGAACCUCUGACCUUGGCCUCGUUAUCACCCGUGCAGAGGGCGGCCAAGAGAGCAGAGGUAAAUAGCCACACACUGGGAAGAGGAGGACCACGAAGGAGAUAGCCUGUAAGUCCCCAUCCAAAAGCAGGUGUCCCACACUUACUUACUCCAAUCAAAAGCCAGCAAGACAGUUGUUCUGCACUGGACAUGCCAGACACUGGAAAAUAAAGGCCUAACAGAUGCAGCCAUGACCCUCCUGGUGGAGGUUGUAGUCUAGGUGGUGUUACUUCAGUCAUGGGUAUUCUCAAAGUCACCAAUGGCCAAUGGCAAAUAAAUGCCACUUAAUAGGUAGCAUUUUCUCUUUCUUAUUCCACUUAUAAAAAUAACAAUAUUUACAGCCAGGCACUGGUGGCUCACACCUGUAAUCCUAGCUACUCAGGAGGCUGAAAUCUAAAGAUUGCUGUCAGAAGCCAGCUGGGGUAAGGAAAUCUGUGAAACUCUUAGCUCCAACUACCCACUAGGAAAUCAGCAGUGGAGCUGUGCCUCAAAGUGGCAGAGUGCUAGCCUUGAGCUAAAAAGCUCAGGGACAGUGUGCAGGCCCUGAAUUCAAGCUCCAUGACUGACAAAACAAACAAACAAAAGGCAAUAUUUUAUUCUCAUAGUUAUAGUAAUGUGAAAAGAAAUAAAACACUAAUAAACUUAUUACAUGAACCGGAAUAUUUCUUUCCUUUAAAACUUUCCUUAGAACAUGAAGGGAAAAGAUAUGCUCAAUUAAAAAUAUGAA